ACUGUUAGACUUGNAAUUAUUAGGAAGUAACUAGAAUAUGUAGUGUAGCGGUGAAAUGCUUAGAGAUUACAUGGAAUACCAAUUGCGAAGGCAGGUUACUACUAAUUGAUUGACGCUGAUGGACGAAAGCGUGGGUAGCGAACAGGAUUAGAUACCCUGGUAGUCCCACGCCGUAAACGAUGGAUACUAGCUGUUGGAAGCAAUUUCAGUGGCUAAGCGAAAGUGAUAAGUAUCCCACCUGGGGAGUACGUUCGCAAGAAUGAAACUCAAAGGAAUUGACGGGGGCCCGCACAAGCGGUGGAGCAUGUGGUUUAAUUCGAUGAUACGCGAGGAACCUUACCAAGGCUUAAAUGUAGAUUGACCGGUUUGGAAACAGAUCUUUCGCAAGACAAUUUACAAGGUGCUGCAUGGUUGUCGUCAGCUCGUGCCGUGAGGUGUCAGGUUAAGUCCUAUAACGAGCGCAACCCCUGUUGUUAGUUGCCAGCGAGUCAAGUCGGGAACUCUAACAAGACUGCCAGUGCAAACUGUGAGGAAGGUGGGGAUGACGUCAAAUCAUCACGGCCCUUACGCCUUGGGCUACACACGUGCUACAAUGGCCGGUACAGAGAGCAGCCACUGGGCGACCAGGAGCGAAUCUAUAAAACCGGUCACAGUUCGGAUCGGAGUCUGCAACUCGACUCC
RNAcentral lists this ribosomal RNA (681 nucleotides) under Flavobacterium sp. 786. Its description in RNAcentral is "bacterial SSU rRNA". It matches the Rfam family "Bacterial small subunit ribosomal RNA", at positions 632 to 1319 of the family's 1533-position model. Lineage: Bacteria; Pseudomonadati; Bacteroidota; Flavobacteriia; Flavobacteriales; Flavobacteriaceae. The record is from RNAcentral.